UACGUAGGGUGCGAGCGUUAAUCGGAAUUACUGGGCGUAAAGCGUGCGCAGGCGGCGCGUUAAGUCAGGCGUGAAAGCCCCGGGCUCAACCUGGGAACCGCGCUUGAGACUGGCACGCUAGAGUUCGGGAGAGGAUGGUGGAAUUCCCAGUGUAGAGGUGAAAUUCGUAGAUAUUGGGAAGAACACCGAUGGCGAAGGCAGCCAUCUGGACCGACACUGACGCUGAGGCGCGAAAGCGUGGGGAGCAAACAGG
This 253-nucleotide ribosomal RNA is filed under the name uncultured bacterium. RNAcentral's name for it is "partial 16S ribosomal RNA". It matches the Rfam family "Bacterial small subunit ribosomal RNA", at positions 524 to 776 of the family's 1533-position model. The record is from RNAcentral.